AUAUCCUGAAGUAAAAAAUGCUCUGUAAGUGUGAACUGAUUCAAAACAUAGCUACAUUAUCAGUGCCCAGGAAGAUUUGCACUGAGAGAGCUGCCACCAUUCUAAGAAAGUUUGCAGACAUCCUUUGAGUCAUGGAUUAGUCACCAGCAAGCACAGAAAGAUUGAUGGAAACGGGGCCGGACACAGGCAUGGGCAAACUGGGUGGCCGCCUGGGACCCGGACAGGAAGGGGGCCUGAAGAUGGUAAGUUUGUUAUUAUUAUGAUCGUUAUUUCUUGCAAAGGGGGGCCUGAUACUAAAAGUUCACC
RNAcentral lists this long non-coding RNA (306 nucleotides) under Crocodylus porosus (Australian saltwater crocodile). Its description in RNAcentral is "lncRNA (ENSCPRG00005018460.1)". Lineage: Eukaryota; Metazoa; Chordata; Crocodylia; Crocodylidae. The record is from RNAcentral.